GUUAUUUUGGCAGAAAAGUGCAAUAGAUUUAGAAUCUUUAGAUGUAUAUUUAUAUACAAGUAACA
Molecule: transfer RNA, 65 nt
Filed under: Trigonopterus porg
Lineage: Eukaryota; Metazoa; Arthropoda; Insecta; Coleoptera; Curculionidae
Description: tRNA-Leu
Rfam family: tRNA
About the family: Transfer RNA (tRNA) molecules are approximately 80 nucleotides in length. Their secondary structure includes four short double-helical elements and three loops (D, anti-codon, and T loops). Further hydrogen bonds mediate the characteristic L-shaped molecular structure. tRNAs have two regions of fundamental functional importance: the anti-codon, which is responsible for specific mRNA codon recognition, and the 3' end, to which the tRNAs corresponding amino acid is attached (by aminoacyl-tRNA synthetases). tRNAs cope with the degeneracy of the genetic code in two manners: having more than one tRNA (with a specific anti-codon) for a particular amino acid; and 'wobble' base-pairing, i.e. permitting non-standard base-pairing at the 3rd anti-codon position.
Source: RNAcentral